RNAcentral lists this long non-coding RNA (1312 nucleotides) under Pan troglodytes (chimpanzee). RNAcentral's name for it is "lincRNA". Lineage: Eukaryota; Metazoa; Chordata; Mammalia; Primates; Hominidae. The record is from RNAcentral.
AGUCCAGGUAAUGGAGCAGAGACUGGAGCAGAGACAAGUUGUUCCCACUGAGCUCUCCUCAGAUUACAGAUUGGGAGUGGCAAAUCAAAGGCAUUGCAGCCUCUUUCAUCACUGCCGAUUGCUGAUGCCAACCAUGUGCCAAGUGCUUAAUACGUCACCUUAAAUCUUCUCAUCCACCCUCAGAGUAGCUGCAGCAUCAACCCAGUGCCCUGACUUUCAAGACGACUAUGAAAACACCCCAACUGCUGCUAAAUUACCAGCAACAAGGAUCUGACAUUCUUACUAAAAAGAAAGAACACCGAAAUUGACCUUACCCUGACAAUAUGAUGGCUGAAGGAUUUAUGAUCACUUAUAACAUUUGAAAUUGAGGCGGAACCUGAAGAAUAUGACUCUGGUGAAACGUCCUAUUUAUGCUUUUGAUGUCUUUCACUUGGACAUUUACCACAUGCCUAUUGGUAGGUUUGUUACAUAGGUCAGUUAAGGUGAUACAAGAAUAAAUAAAACACUAUCCCUAUCCUUUAAUAUCAUUUAUUUGUGGGGUCAAUCACAGAUUUUCAUUUUUCAAAAUCUUUGAUAAAUGUCAGAAUUAUGUUUUUUAAUAUUUUUACAGAAUUAUUACAAUAUAUGAUAGAGGAUGAAAGGCAAGGUAGUAUGAAAUGGAAAAGAUAUUUUGAAUUAAGAUAUUUGGACCUGGAUUCAUAUUUUUGCUUUGGUCUUUAUUAGCUGAGUGACCUUGGGAAAGUUCUUCUACUAAAAAAGAACAAAGAUAAUAAUUACUUCAUGAAAUUGCUGUAAAAACACAUAACAAGUAUAUCCAGACUCAACAGUGUAUGCUCAAAAAUGCAGAUCCUUUUUCCCUUACCUGCAAAUAAAGUCUUACAUUAAUACAGUGGGGGUAAAGGUUUAAACUGGUGGAUUCAAGAAGGGUUAUAGAAAGAGGUAGCAUUUUAAUAGGGGAAGGAGUGGAUCCAAGAAAUCAGAUCCAUUUUCUACAAAAAGAAAUGAGAAGACAGAUAAUUCAAGAAGAAAAGUUUACAUGAUUAAAGACCCAAAGUUAGAAAUAGUGAUGUGUCUCAAUAGUAAGUUAGGAAUUGGGGUGGACACAGUUGUUGGAAGAAGGAUGGUUUCAGCAAAGACCCGAGUUAGGUGACAAUUUCAAGUGUUUGUGAAGAUAUAUGAACAAAAUUAUAAAGUAGUUAGGGUAUAAGAAAUAGGGAGGAGGGAAUGAAUUAACAUUUAUGGAGUGUCUUGCAUGUUCCAAGCACUGUACUACUUGCCUUAUAAACCUUUUUUCAAUAAACGCCUACAACAA